AUUGAACGCUGGCGGCAUGCUUUACACAUGCAAGUCGAACGGUAACAGGUUAAGCUGACGAGUGGCGAACGGGUGAGUAAUGCAUCGGAACGUGCCCGAUCGUGGGGGAUAACACUUCGAAAGAAGUGCUAAUACCGCAUACGAUCUGAGGAUGAAAGCGGGGGACCGUAAGGCCUCGCGCGAUCGGAGCGGCCGAUGUCAGAUUAGGUAGUUGGUGGGGUAAAGGCGCACCAAGGCGACGAUCUGUAGCUGGUCUGAGAGGACGACCAGCCACACGGGGACUGAGACACGGCCCAGACUCCUACGGGAGGCAGCAGUGGGGAAUUUUGGACAAUGGGCGAAAGCCUGAUCCAGUAAUGCCGCGUGCAGGAAGAAGGCCUUCGGGUUGUAAACUGCUUUUGUACGGAGAGAAAAGGCUCUCUCUAAUACAGGGGGCUCAUGACGGUACCGUAAGAAUAAGCACCGGCUAACUACGUGCCAGCCGCCGCUGUAA
This 493-nucleotide ribosomal RNA is filed under the name uncultured bacterium. Its description in RNAcentral is "partial 16S ribosomal RNA". It matches the Rfam family "Bacterial small subunit ribosomal RNA", at positions 30 to 523 of the family's 1533-position model. The record is from RNAcentral.